This 357-nucleotide long non-coding RNA is filed under the name Ananas comosus (pineapple). Its description in RNAcentral is "long non-coding RNA (ACOM_LNC000574)". Lineage: Eukaryota; Viridiplantae; Streptophyta; Magnoliopsida; Poales; Bromeliaceae. The record is from RNAcentral.
CUUUAUCAGAUAAAUUGUCGGAUUUUAUUUUUCACCUUCCGGGUCUCAGAAAAAUAUAAAACUUUAAAUCUAGUCUCAUAAAAAUAUUUCUGACCUAUCCUCUAAUUUUCAUAAUUUUCUGAGACUGUGUAUUUUCUGCUAAUUUAUCUGUCCCGUUUCUAACAGAAAAUUCUAGAUCUUCUGUUUUCAUUCCGAUUUCAGCACAAGUCACUUCUGACUUAUAUUUUACUCCUCUAAAUUCAAUAAAAAUAGUAUCUCACGCUAUUUUUAUUUAUUUUUAUUUUUAUACCAAAAUCUGGUAUGUUACACUCUCCACCCCUUAAAAGAAUUUCGUCCGCGAAAUUCAAAUCACGCCUC